GAUGUGUGGGCUUUUGGCUGUAC
RNAcentral lists this non-coding RNA (23 nucleotides) under Arabidopsis thaliana (thale cress). The record is from RNAcentral. Lineage: Eukaryota; Viridiplantae; Streptophyta; Magnoliopsida; Brassicales; Brassicaceae.